CGCCAGACUCCUACGGGAGGCAGCAGUGGGGGAUAUUGCACAAUGGGGGAAACCCUGAUGCAGCGACGCCGCGUGAGUGAAGACGGCCUUCGGGUUGUAAAGCUCUGUCAAUCGGGACGAAGAAAAUGACGGUACCUGAAGAAGAAGCCCCGGCUAACUACGUGCCAGCAGCCGCGGUAAUACGUAGGGGGCAAGCGUUAUCCGGAUUUACUGGGUGUAAAGGGGGCGCAGACGGCGAUGCAAGCCAGGAGUGAAAGCCCGGGGCCCAACCCCGGGACUGCUCUUGGAACUGCGUGGCUGGAGUGCAGGAGGGGCAGGCGGAAUUCCUGGUGUAGCGGUGAAAUGCGUAGAUAUCAGGAGGAACACCGGUGGCGAAGGCGGCCUGCUGGACUGCAACUGACGUUGAGGCCCGAAAGCGUGGGGAGCAAACAGGAUUAGAUACCCUAGUA
Molecule: ribosomal RNA, 449 nt
Filed under: uncultured bacterium
Lineage: Bacteria
Description: bacterial SSU rRNA
Rfam family: Bacterial small subunit ribosomal RNA
Source: RNAcentral